UUUUUUUCUAUUUAGUUUUAUAUGAGAUUAUCACAUUCUCAUUUAUUUUUUUUUCCUUCAUUAUCAGAUAACAUCCUUCAACAUUUGAUUUUUUUUAAAAUUGUUUUUUUUUUCAAUUUCAUCAUUUAUCAUUUGAUUGAUCGAGAACGAGUCUUCAUGCCUUUUGUUUUUUCUUUUUUUUCUAUGGGGUUAUUCCAAUAUUAUGCCAAUAUACACGGGGUUAAAUGAUUAACUUGGUUUGACUAGGUUUUUUUUUAAAAAAAUAUUUUUUUCAGUUAUGCCCCUCAACAUUGGGUUAUUUCAUAAUUGAGCUUUAUGAUUUUAUUUA
Molecule: long non-coding RNA, 328 nt
Filed under: Populus trichocarpa (black cottonwood)
Lineage: Eukaryota; Viridiplantae; Streptophyta; Magnoliopsida; Malpighiales; Salicaceae
Description: long non-coding RNA (PTRI_LNC000135)
Source: RNAcentral